ACGCUGGCGGCAGGCCUAACACAUGCAAGUCGAGCGGUAGAGAGAAGCUUGCUUCUCUUGAGAGCGGCGGACGGGUGAGUAAUGCCUAGGAAUCUGCCUGGUAGUGGGGGAUAACGUUCGGAAACGGACGCUAAUACCGCAUACGUCCUACGGGAGAAAGCAGGGGACCUUCGGGCCUUGCGCUAUCAGAUGAGCCUAGGUCGGAUUAGCUAGUUGGUGGGGUAAUGGCUCACCAAGGCGACGAUCCGUAACUGGUCUGAGAGGAUGAUCAGUCACACUGGAACUGAGACACGGUCCAGACUCCUACGGGAGGCAGCAGUGGGGAAUAUUGGACAAUGGGCGAAAGCCUGAUCCAGCCAUGCCGCGUGUGUGAAGAAGGUCUUCGGAUUGUAAAGCACUUUAAGUUGGGAGGAAGGGCAGUUGCCUAAUACGUAACUGUUUUGACGUUACCGACAGAAUAAGCACCGGCUAACUCUGUGCCAGCAGCCGCGGUAAUACAGAGGGUGCAGGCGUUAAUCGGAAUUACUGGGCGUAAAGCGCGCGUAGGUGGUUUGUUAAGUUGGAUGUGAAAUCCCCGGGCUCAACCUGGGAACUGCAUUCAAAACUGACUGACUAGAGUAUGGUAGAGGGUGGUGGAAUUUCCUGUGUAGCGGUGAAAUGCGUAGAUAUAGGAAGGAACACCAGUGGCGAAGGCGACCACCUGGACUGAUACUGACACUGAGGUGCGAAAGCGUGGGAGCAAAC
This 744-nucleotide ribosomal RNA is filed under the name uncultured bacterium. RNAcentral's name for it is "bacterial SSU rRNA". It matches the Rfam family "Bacterial small subunit ribosomal RNA", at positions 33 to 773 of the family's 1533-position model. The record is from RNAcentral.